RNAcentral lists this ribosomal RNA (422 nucleotides) under uncultured Taibaiella sp. RNAcentral describes it as "bacterial SSU rRNA". It matches the Rfam family "Bacterial small subunit ribosomal RNA", at positions 355 to 774 of the family's 1533-position model. Lineage: Bacteria; Pseudomonadati; Bacteroidota; Chitinophagia; Chitinophagales; Chitinophagaceae. The record is from RNAcentral.
UGAGGAAUAUUGGUCAAUGGACGCAAGUCUGAACCAGCCAUGCCGCGUGAAGGAUGAAGGCGUUCUGCGUUGUAAACUUCUUUUACCAGGGAAGAAACCACUUUUUUCUAAGAGUGUUGACGGUACCUGAGGAAUAAGCACCGGCUAACUCCGUGCCAGCAGCCGCGGUAAUACGGAGGGUGCAAGCGUUAUCCGGAUUUACUGGGUUUAAAGGGUGUGUAGGCGGAUUAUUAAGUCAGGGGUGAAAUCUCCGAGCUCAACUCGGAAACUGCCUUUGAUACUAUUAGUCUUGAAUCCUGUUGAGGUUGACGGAAUAUAACAUGUAGCGGUGAAAUGCAUAGAUAUGUUAUAGAACACCGAUUGCGAAGGCAGUUAACUAAGCAGGCAUUGACGCUGAUGCACGAAAGCGUGGGGAUCAAACA